GGAAGUGGCGGAAUUGGUAGACGCACCAGAUUUAGGUUCUGGCGCCGCAAGGUGUGAGAGUUCAAGUCUCUCCUUCCGCACCA
Molecule: transfer RNA, 83 nt
Filed under: Vibrio parahaemolyticus
Lineage: Bacteria; Pseudomonadati; Pseudomonadota; Gammaproteobacteria; Vibrionales; Vibrionaceae
Description: tRNA-Leu
Rfam family: tRNA
About the family: Transfer RNA (tRNA) molecules are approximately 80 nucleotides in length.
Source: RNAcentral